GGCCUGACGUGUUACGAAUGUUACUCUGCCCGGGAACCACAGCUUUGUACGUACCAUCGCAAUUGUGGCCAAAACGAGAAAUGUGGGAUACACAAGACACAGAACUUACUGGGAGCGACGGUGUAUCACCUGGAGUGUCUUCCUGACACGAUAUGCGAAGGUUCCGAAGCUCCGCCCACUUUUAUUGGAAGACGUAGGCGAGAUACGUACAAGGAAGUGACAUGUUGUGACACCGACUUAUGUAACCA
Molecule: long non-coding RNA, 248 nt
Organism: Pecten maximus
Lineage: Eukaryota; Metazoa; Mollusca; Bivalvia; Pectinida; Pectinidae
Exons: 3
Source: RefSeq, a predicted model, not a curated record